Molecule: non-coding RNA, 620 nt
Organism: Vicugna pacos (alpaca)
Lineage: Eukaryota; Metazoa; Chordata; Mammalia; Artiodactyla; Camelidae
Source: RefSeq, a predicted model, not a curated record
AACAAUAUUUCAACGGAUGCUUCAUCCCUUCAGCUGAUUUAUUCUCGUCCCCCAGGGCACACAGUCCUUUUGGAGCUCAGAAUUACCUUCUAAAUUUGAUCUGAACUUAAGCUCCAUCUCCCUCUAUUUAGACUGAAGAUAUGUGGCGUUACCCCGCGUGCCCCAGUGAUUCUAAUUUCUACUCAGGACCAGCCUUUUCUCGAUUCCCUACCAAGUGACCCCCCCAAACAAAAGACAGCGGCGAUGAAGUGUUUCAUGUAGCAUCAAGAUGGACCCCAAAACAGGAUUCGUUUUGGUCCUGAGAAAGCCGGAGCUCUGAGGACACUCUGUUCAUGCAUGGUAGCACCUGCUCAAGGGGCCUUCCUGUUGGAAAGUGGGAUUAGCCGCUUUCAAGCUUCUUGAAGCUAGGAUGCUGCAGAUAUAAGGCCCUCUGAUACCUUUGCUAAGUGCUUCUGUGAAAACUACUUAAACAUCCAGCUUUUCAUUUUGUAAUCAAAUCAGAUAAAGUCUCCAGCAAGAGAGAAUACACAGAGCUUCAAAUGCAAGGAUCAGCCCAGAUUUCACGCCAGACUGGAACCGUCUGUCUUCAGAGGCGGGCUCUCUCGAUAACUGCGUUUCAU